Non-coding RNA from Vicia faba (fava bean), 246 nucleotides. The record is from the annotation of a GenBank genome assembly. Lineage: Eukaryota; Viridiplantae; Streptophyta; Magnoliopsida; Fabales; Fabaceae.
AUGCUGUCGAAGGUAUUAGCUCAUCCCGAGGGCUCAAUUGGAGAUGUAUGUAAAGUUGAGGUUUCAGAUCAAGUGGACAUUGGUGAAAAGUUUAUCUCUAAUCUAAGGGAUCUUGAUGACACUAACACUUUUGGAAUGCUUUCUUUCACUAAUAGUUUUGAUAACUCUUGUCAAAAGAAUUUUGAAGACUUGAAAAAUCAUGCAGAAGCUUUGGAAAUAAAAACUAAUUGGAUACGAAGAAACUAA